Molecule: long non-coding RNA, 1158 nt
Organism: Raphanus sativus (radish)
Lineage: Eukaryota; Viridiplantae; Streptophyta; Magnoliopsida; Brassicales; Brassicaceae
Exons: 4
Source: RefSeq, a predicted model, not a curated record
CGUUGAGGAUAUCUCUAGAUUUCUUUCCUUAGUUUUCACAAGCUUUUCAUGAGGAUUUGAGAAUCAGAGAAGAUGUUGAGAGCGGUAAUUCCACAAUCGAGAGCAGAGAUCAUGGCGGUGCGAAGCGCCAAAGUUUCCGCAAUAAGGGGCGAUGCCACAAAGGGCGAAAUCGCUGAGAGAGAUAUGGUUGUGCCUGCAUCAUCAAUGAUCCAACCUAGUCCUGCGCGUUUCGUGAGGGGGUCCCAAGCCGCGUCAGUGAACAUGCAGGAUCGAUUUGGUGCGCUGGUUGGAUCUUCGGCGAUGUUAGGUCUUGGGUUUAGCGGUUGCAAGCGGGGUGAUUGAGCUGUAGUCCAUUCACGAGCUUCCUUGAUUGUUUUUGUAACAGGCUCAAUCGGGGUGGCUGUUCGCUUGUUGAAAAUCAGUUGGUUUCGCGCAAUCCAUAUGUUCCAGAGGAUCCAAGAUGAUAGCGUUCCUGCUUCAAGGCCCGUGGGGGGGGAGGAAUGGGAUUCUUCUGUAUUGAUCUAGACCAUAGGCCGUAGAGAUGGUUGGGUUAUGAUUUGCGGGGAGAGCAAAGGGUACCAAGUCCCAGACAUCUUUAGCGUACCUGCAAUUGAAAAGCAAGUGGACAACAGAUUCAAUUUCAGUACAUCGUGGGCAUUGGCUUGAGGGUUAGUUUGUGGAUAUGGGGACUGCAGCACGGACAAAAUGAUCUCUGGCCAAGGGAGGUCACGAGCAGGUUGGUGCUUAGAUUUUCGGAGCCUUUCAGGAGUAUUCAUACCGUGACGUCGCCGCUCAUACAACUUUAAAGCCAAGGUAAAGGAGGGGAAGGCAAACACUCAAGAGGAACUUAAGAGGAAUCUUCGCGAUGACCUUGAAGAGUGGGAUAAGAGACACUUCUCACUCAAAGGCAAAACUUACAAUGGUAGAGCCAUUGAUCCCUAUGAGAGCAGAUCGGACGGUCGAGAGAAGAAGCUGAGUAGAUCGGAGUUUGAGAUGAAAGAAAUCAUCGAAGAAGACAAUUUCUUUUGUGAUAUCAAUUUUUGUAUAUUAGCUACAAAUGCAAUAUAACCAGCAAUAGAUGAAUGGUUCUAAGUUGUAACAACAAUAAUUUUAAUAAACUUUUACGAAAAUAAAUAAAAUCUAACAGUUGCUGGAAAA